Molecule: ribosomal RNA, 423 nt
Filed under: uncultured prokaryote
Description: bacterial SSU rRNA
Rfam family: Bacterial small subunit ribosomal RNA
Source: RNAcentral
UGAGGAAUAUUGGUCAAUGGGCGCAAGCCUGAACCAGCCAUCCCGCGUGCAGGAAGACGGCCCUAUGGGUUGUAAACUGCUUUUCCAGGGAGCGAAACUUGCGUACGCGUUGCGCAAUUGACGGUACCCUGGGAAUAAGCAUCGGCUAACUCCGUGCCAGCAGCCGCGGUAAUACGGAGGAUGCGAGCGUUAUCCGGAUUCAUUGGGUUUAAAGGGUGCGUAGGCGGACUAUUAAGUCAGUGGUGAAAUCCUGCAGCUUAACUGCAGAACUGCCAUUGAUACUGAUAGCCUUGAGUUUGGUUAAGGUAGGCGGAAUGUGUAAUGUAGCGGUGAAAUGCUUAGAUAUUACACAGAACACCAAUUGCGAAGGCAGCUUACUGGGCCAUUACUGACGCUGAUGCACGAAAGCGUGGGGAGCGAACA